GAGGUGCUAGCUUGACCUCGAGCUGAUUAGGGGAGGUGCUAGCUUAUCCAAAGCCGUCUGACACACAAUUUGUUUAAAGAUAGAGCACUAAAAGUUGUGUUUAGAGGUCUAACUUGCAUUUCAUAUAGAGUUAUUCGUCCAAAGGUAGUGUUAAAAUAAGAACGACCAGUAAUAGUAUUUUAACAUCUUCAAACUGUAAUAACUGAAUCAUAGAAAACCCAAAUAAGAAAACAGACAUAUCUUAAAAUAAAGUAUCUAACGUGAUAAGCAGGUCGGAAUCAAGUUGCUAUCGGGAGGUGCUUAAGGGUUUCCCGACAUGCUAGCUUGAGG
This 330-nucleotide long non-coding RNA is filed under the name Manihot esculenta (cassava). Its description in RNAcentral is "long non-coding RNA (MESC_LNC006450)". Lineage: Eukaryota; Viridiplantae; Streptophyta; Magnoliopsida; Malpighiales; Euphorbiaceae. The record is from RNAcentral.